Molecule: long non-coding RNA, 3152 nt
Organism: Caretta caretta (loggerhead turtle)
Lineage: Eukaryota; Metazoa; Chordata; Testudines; Cheloniidae
Source: RefSeq, a predicted model, not a curated record
AGGAAUCUCAGCCCUUCCGAAAGGCAGCUCUCUGCAGCAGGAUAAGGAAAUAACUCUGCAGAGCGUGCUAUUGAAUCAUCGGCACCCCGAGCAGCGUCAAGACCUUCGGAGCACUUUGUGAGUGAGAAUUUCCUCUGCCAGGAACACAGCGCUCAUACACAGCAGGAUCUCAGCCUCUCGCUGCCACAGCCUGGCCUGACGCCUGCUUUCAGCUCACUGGAAUGAGUACAAAUGGGCUCUCCCAGCCCCCUGGUCAUUUAUGCUCCUGCUGAGAGGUCUGCGCUCCCCUAUUUCCUCACCCAGGGAUUGCUAAUGGGGUGAAACCCUCCCCUGUGCAGGGGGCCAGCAGGAGGCCGAGCUACCCCUAGAGUGCCACAUUAGUCAUUUCUGCCACUGCAUCUCACUGAAGCCAUCGCACCACCUAUGGACUACUUACAAGAGGGUCCCUGGAUGCUGAAUGAAUAAGGAAUGGAUGCAUCGCCUCACAAGAACUGUGAUUAGCAUCCAAGAGGCAGAUUGGAACUCAGGGACCCCAUGCAAUAAAAGCCAGUCACAAGACGGAGUUGCAGAUGCUGGGAAUUUUGAAAUCAUUGGCUUUGGUUCCAACUGGGAAAGAAGCCAAAUUUGAAAAACUCUAAAUCCUUUGGGAAAUGGAACGUCCAUCUCCUGCACAGCCCUGGGAGAUAAAACCUCCUGCUUCCAGGUAGAAACCUACCCCUAACUAUUAGGGGUUAGAAUAAGAACUUCAUGGGGCAGAUUAUCCCACCUCUGCCUGCUGUGAGUCUGAUCCUGUCUGGCAAUUGAAAAAGAAAGAUAAUACCAGCUCCAUGUGAGAGGCUCAAGAUGUGGAGCAGCUGGAAAAUGACCUUCCAUUUGCAGCUCUUCAGCUUAGAUGAGGGAAAAAUUCUUGGCUUCCUAAUUCUGCCUUCAAGGGACUCCCAUCCUAGAGCUUCAUACUCAUGGCCUGACCAUGCCAGCCUCUUUUAGAAAUAUAUGCUUUUCUCCUAGCCUCCAUUGCAUGGACCGUAGGCCAGGACUACGCCCCACAUACUUCUGCCUUCGAGAUCUACUGGUCUUGGGUCUGACUCUCUGGGACCAGCAUGUUUUCUCUUCAAAUAAAAUUGAUUUUGAACACUUGGAUGGUGCAUAGCACAGAUACUGCACUCAUGGGGGCCCAGUGUACCUAUCCAUUGGGGGAAACAAGUCACAUAUACCUGGUUGCUAGGAGUUGGAGCCGGAAGCCUGGGUUACAAGUGACUUGGCUGUGAGGAGUUGGCCCUGGCUGCACGUUACCUGGACAUUAGUGACAUUUAUCAACUUAUUAGGAGCAGACAGCGCAUCAUAAAAGUCUCCAAAAUAAACACUUUUUUAUUUUUAUUUUAUUUUAUUUUUUUGCAAGUUAAGCUUUUUUGCUCUAACCAGGAACAGAUGUCUGAAUCGGCUCAUGAAUUGGAAACAUCUGAAACAACUUUCCAAGCUGAAGUAUAAUAAAUAUACCUUUCAUCACAACCCCUCCACGAGGGUUUUUAAAGGCACUGUGUUCGGUGGGCCUGUGCUCUGGAGCAGCAUUAUGACAAAUGAACCCAAUUACAGUCCUGGGUCGACCACUGUUCGAGUUACUUUCCCAGCACUGCAGGUAUCACCUUUACAGCCUGGACUGGGGCCUUGGCCUCCUGCCAUCCUUCCCCAGAUUUCUGCUCUUUAGCCUGAUGAUGCCAGCCUCUGCUCUGGGGGAAGUGAGGUAGAAAAAGCGAAGCUUCUCCUUCGGGAGAAGGAGUGUGUUGGGAGAUGCAUCUGAGUGCCCGGUGCAGCCGGAUUCUCCUCUUGCUGCGCCCGGUGCUGCCCUGGAGUCUGGGGUGUCAGUCUUAUGUGAGAGCAGCAUGGGAAUCAAGCCCUAGAUGUUUCAAUGGGUGAUACCUUCCAGGUUGUGUGGGCUCAAUAGCAAGGAGGAGCCACUGGGCUGAUAAGGCUGGAUGAGGCACUAUCUGACUCUGAUUUCCCUCUACCACCUGUUGUAGAGACUUGUGGUACUGGGGCCAGUCAUACGCUAAAGAAUUACACUUUGUAAUGUAUAUGUCAUGUCUGUAUCCUCUGGCUUUCACAGCUGCAUACCAAGGAGAAUGGACAGGAAAGCUCAGAGUUUGGGACCCUUCAGUCCCAAGAACAGGGUCAGAUCCUGAUGUCUCAGUGGAAACUGAUGAUGCUCAUUCCCUUCUGGGAGGCACUCAGCCCUUCCCAGGACUGCAUCCCACCCGGGACACAGCAGAAGCAUUGCAGGGCAGCACAUUCGUUGCUGAUUGUGGAUGUUCUGUUUCUGAUUUUGGCAGCAUUCACUUCUGGACGGGAGAGAAACAGUCAACAAAGCAUCAUAGUGGGUUAGUGCGAGAAACAUCUCAAAGCCAGGGGGGACUUUCUGGCAAAGUUAAAAUGGCCACGAUUCUUGCUGUUGAUCUCACAGCCUGGCUAGCUGAGACUCUUUCAGCAGGAAUCGCCAGCAGGAGUUCAUUUUUCCAUGUCCUCACUUGGUUUAUUCCACUUAGCAAAGUCAGAUUCUGUUAGUUUCUUUUAAAUCACAUUUAUUUUGCUUUGGGAAAAUGAAAACCAACUUUUCCCCUCAAAAUUAAUGUGGCUUGUACAGGAUUUGAGGGUCAACUUUUCAAGCAGGAAUGAAGUUGUCCAUCCGUAAUGUGUACAAGUACUGGCAGGUAGCAGCAUUUGUCCACAGGAACUGGGUAUUAGGACACGCACAUGUGCUCAGUCAGCAAAACUGGUACAGGUGCUUGCAAAGGGAGCCUAGCUGGUGUGCACUGAGGGUGAAAUUCACCCCUGGGCAGAAUUUAUGGACCACUUCAGAGCCACUAAAAUCCUCCCAACAGAGUUCUGUUGGACUUGGCUUUCACUGGCAACUUGUGUGAAGCUUUGGCCCUUAAAGUGACAGCACAGAAUCACACAAUCAUAGCACUGUAAGGACUGGAAGGGACUUCAGUAGGUAUCUAUGCCCCUGCCUGAGUUGGGCUGUGAAUCCCUCUUGUUGCUGUCACUUCCAUACACACUCCUCCCAAGCCCCUUCAUUUCCCUUCUUUCCCAGUUUUCUGUAAAGACCUUCCCCCACCCACCCCCGGCCCCGCCCUCCAGCACUGAAGCCCAGGUAC